AUAUUAUAUUAUAUACAAUCUGAUGAUGCAACACUUAAGGAAGGUAUAAAGAGCAAUAAACAUUGAUAUAAUGUGAGAAAAAGCUCCCUGAAACUGUGGUAAAGCAGCUUUCAAGAUGUCCCAGAGACUGAAAUUUUAAACCCAUUUUAAAGUGGGUAAAUUAUUUUCCUCAAACACAUUUUCAUGUAUUUUUUUUUUCUUUUAUUGGUUCUCUAAUCCAUUAUUUUAGGUGCUUUUUAAAUGGGAUUCUCUGAUCUUUAUCUGCUUCCAGGUGUAUUGGAAUUAUUUCUGCCUGGUGUCUGCUCUUGGCUGGCAGGACAGGGCAGGGCCAGCAAGGUUGAUAAUUUCUACCCUGCUGGGUAGAACCUGCCAGGCGAGGAAGGAGACGUGGUUUGAGCAUCAGCAAUUCCAAAUUUAAAAUAAUCUAAGAUUAAAAAACUCUCUCUGAGUCAGUUCCAGCAGGAAGUUGAGCCUCCACUUCCUAAAUCCAAAGAGGAUCCUUGACAUUUUGGUCCAAACCCUUCCCAAAAUCCAUUAUUUGAGAUGAAAAUGUACAGAAUGUCAGAUUGGGAAUAGUUUAAUUUUAUCUGUGAUCAAAGUCUGGCAGUGACUGACUCAUUUUAAGGGUAGAUUUCUUCAUUUCCAGAUACCUCCAGCAGUGUAUUUUAUUAAAAUAACAAAAAUUAAUGCCUAUUCCAUUUUACAGUAGGAAAAAAGCGAUUUAAUUUGAUGCCUGAAUUUGUUCAUUAUCUGUAAAGUUGAACAAAAAUGUUUUGCUUUUUUUUAUUUCAAGUCUCCAGAUGAACAAAGCAUUUGUUCUCAUAGCAAAAUGCUUCAUUAAUUUAUUUUGAAAAUGUGAGGGGGAAAAAAAACCCUGUGAAUGGAAGAUUCUGUUCUGAUCUGUGAAGUGCUGGGAUUUAAAUUUUGGGAAUUUUUUCUCUGAGACAGUUCACUGGAUUGAUCUUGUUGUAAUUAUCAGUUCUAAUCCACAGAUUCCUCAGUAAUUAAUAAUGAAAGACCUAAAAUAAAUGAUUUUUUUACAAAACUAGAAAUACA
This 1056-nucleotide long non-coding RNA is filed under the name Parus major (Great Tit). RNAcentral's name for it is "lncRNA (ENSPMJG00000009548.1)". The record is from RNAcentral. Lineage: Eukaryota; Metazoa; Chordata; Aves; Passeriformes; Paridae.